GACGAACGCUGGCGGCGUGCCUAAUACAUGCAAGUAGAACGCUGAAGAGAGGAGCUUGCUCUUCUUGGAUGAGUUGCGAACGGGUGAGUAACGCGUAGGUAACCUGCCUUGUAGCGGGGGAUAACUAUUGGAAACGAUAGCUAAUACCGCAUAACAAUGGAUGACACAUGUCAUUUAUUUGAAAGGGGCAAUUGCUCCACUACAAGAUGGACCUGCGUUUUAUUAGCUAGUAGGUAAGGUAAUGGCUCACCUAGGCAACAAUACAUAGCCGACCUGAGAGGGUGAUCGGCCACACGGGAACUGAGACACGGCCCAGACUCCUACGGGAGGCAGCAGUAGGGAAUCUUCGGCAAUGGGGGAAAGCCUGACGGAGCAACGCCGCGGGAGUGAAGAAGGUCUUCGGAUCGUAAAACUCUGUUAUAAGGGAAGAACAUAUGUGUAAGUAAAAGUGCACAUCUUGACGGUAACUAAUCAGAAAGGGACGGCUAACUACGUG
This 496-nucleotide ribosomal RNA is filed under the name uncultured bacterium. RNAcentral describes it as "partial 16S ribosomal RNA". It matches the Rfam family "Bacterial small subunit ribosomal RNA", at positions 28 to 507 of the family's 1533-position model. The record is from RNAcentral.